Molecule: ribosomal RNA, 253 nt
Filed under: uncultured bacterium
Lineage: Bacteria
Description: partial 16S ribosomal RNA
Rfam family: Bacterial small subunit ribosomal RNA
Source: RNAcentral
UACGUAGGGUGCAAGCGUUAAUCGGAAUUACUGGGCGUAAAGCGUGCGCAGGCGGUUAUGUAAGUCAGAUGUGAAAUCCCCGGGCUUAACCUGGGAACUGCAUUUGUGACUGCAUAGCUAGAGUACGGGAGAGGGGGAUGGAAUUCCGCGUGUAGCAGUGAAAUGCGUAGAUAUGCGGAGGAACACCGAUGGCGAAGGCAAUCCCCUGGGCCUGUACUGACGCUCAUGCACGAAAGCGUGGGGAGCAAACAGG